RNAcentral lists this long non-coding RNA (536 nucleotides) under Mytilus galloprovincialis (Mediterranean mussel). Lineage: Eukaryota; Metazoa; Mollusca; Bivalvia; Mytilida; Mytilidae. The record is from RNAcentral.
GUAUCGUGCACGACAGUUCCACUAUAAUAUGUAGAUAUGUUGUUUGAUGAAUUAUGUAUGAUUGCGUUCAAUCUGUAUGACCACUCCUUAACACCGCAGCAUUGUAUUACUCUGGUGCAGGCUGGAACCUCGGAAUUGAUGCACUAUAUACAGUAGAACCAUUGUAGGUUAAAUUUAGCUAACAAAUAUGAAAUGCUCUAACGAGUGUGGCAUCCUUCCACACGAAAAUCCCAAGCAGAAAAGAAAAAUGACAACGUGUCCAAAGAACUCAUCUGACCACUGUUUAAAAAUAGCCAAACCUGUCCGAAGAACUCGAUUGACCACUAUUUAAAAAUAGUCAACAGGUGUGUAAAUAGGCUAAGCCUAAUCAGUGUGCGUUUAAACACAGGUGAACCAAACUUAGGCCAAACGUACAUAUAUACAUAAAAGCGUAUGUUAAAACUAUGUAUAAAAUAAACUGUGAAAAAAGGCGUCCUGCGCAAAGACUGCAAGUGCAAUUCUCUGAUCAUUACGACAAUUUCACAAAUCAUUAUCUA